This 494-nucleotide ribosomal RNA is filed under the name uncultured bacterium. RNAcentral describes it as "partial 16S ribosomal RNA". It matches the Rfam family "Bacterial small subunit ribosomal RNA", at positions 28 to 507 of the family's 1533-position model. The record is from RNAcentral.
GACGAACGCUGGCGGCGUGCUUAACACAUGCAAGUCGAACGGAAAGGCCUGCUUUCCCUUGUGGAUUGCGGGUACUCGAGUGGCGAACGGGUGAGUAACACGUGAGUGAUCUGCCCCCAACUUGGGUAUAAGCCUGGGCAACUGGGUCUAAUUCCCGAUAGGACUGCAGGGUGGUGCCUGUGGUUGAAAACGAUUUUCUAGUGGUUGGGGAUGAGCUCGCGGCCUAUCAGCUUGUUGGUGGGGUAAUGGCCUACCAAUGCUGGGACGGGUAGCCGGCCUGGGAGGGUGGACGGACACAGUGGGACUGCGAUACGGCCCAGACUCCUACGGGAGGCCGCAGUGGGGAAUAAUGCACGAUGGGCGGAAGCCUGAUGCAGCGACGCCGCGUGGGGGAUGACGGCCUUCGGGUUGCAAACUCCUUUCGACCGCGAGGAAGCCACCUGGUUGGAAGGGUGGUGACGGUAGUGGUAGAAGAAGCACCGGCUAACUACGUG